ACGUUCGGUGGAGGAACCAGACUGGAAGUUAACUUGGGUCGAGUCGCCCCCACCCUGACGGUGCUGCCCCCCUCCAGCCAGGAGCUGCAGCAGGGGAAGGCCACGCUCACGUGUCUGGCCAACAAGGGCUUCCCCUCAGACUGGAGUCUGGCCUGGAAGGUGGACGGCAGCAGCAGCAGCAGCAGCAGCUGGGAGCAGAGCAGGAGCCCCGGGGUGCUGCAGCAGGACGGCCACUACAGCUGGAGCAGCACCCUGAGGCUCACUGCAGACCAGUGGAGGAAGGUGGGCUCUGUGACCUGUGAGGCCACCCAGGGCUCCCAGACUCCACUCUCAGAGACACUGAGGAGAGACCAGUGUUCCCAGUCCUGA
This is a non-coding RNA of Scomber scombrus (Atlantic mackerel), 369 nucleotides long. The record is from the annotation of a RefSeq genome assembly. Lineage: Eukaryota; Metazoa; Chordata; Actinopteri; Scombriformes; Scombridae.